This is a regulatory RNA element of Johnsonella ignava ATCC 51276, 66 nucleotides long. It matches the Rfam family "pemK RNA". The record is from Rfam. NCBI's taxonomy places the organism in Bacteria, Bacillati, Bacillota, Clostridia, Lachnospirales, Lachnospiraceae.
AUAAUGAUACUUCAAUAGUUUAUGCCGGCUCGUCUGGAAUAAGAGGCGGAGGUGAAAUUCCUAUGU